UGGCGAAUGGGUAUAUAUGUGAGCAAUCUGCCCUGGAGUCUGUGGAUAGCGCUGGGAACGGGUCUACUAUGGAUACUAGCUGGGAAUGGCAUCUUCAGUCAGCUGGAAAGGAACUCGGUCAUGGAUGAGCUCGCGGCCUAUCAGNUUGUUGGUGAGGUAACGGCUCACCAAAGCAGUCUACGGGUAGCCGCCUGAGAGGGUGACGGCCAGAUUGGACUGAGACACGGCCAAUUCCUAAGGAGGCACAGUGGGGAAUAUUGCACAAUGGGCGAAAGCCUGAUGCAUCAACGCCUGCAGUGAGGGACUGACGGCCUUCGUGGUUGUAAACCUCUUUUACAGGGAAGAAGCGCACAUGUGACAGGUAUCCUGCAGAAGAAAGCGCCGGACUAACUACGUGCCAACAUCCGGGUAAUACGUAGGCGCAAGCGUUAUCCGGAAUUUAUUGGGGCGUAAAGAGGCUCGUAAGCGGUUUGUCGCGUCUGCUUGUGAAACCCCGAGGGUCAACCUCGGGCCUGCAUUAGGUACNGGCAGACUAAAUUGCGGUCAUGGGAUAUUGGAAAUUCCUGGUGUAACGGUGGAAUGCGCAGAUAUCAGGAUGAA
This 600-nucleotide ribosomal RNA is filed under the name uncultured bacterium. Its description in RNAcentral is "bacterial SSU rRNA". It matches the Rfam family "Bacterial small subunit ribosomal RNA", at positions 96 to 706 of the family's 1533-position model. The record is from RNAcentral.